UACAGAGGGUGCGAGCGUGAAUCGGAAUUACUGGGCGUAAAGCGCGCGUAGGCGGCUUUGCAAGUCGGGUGUGAAAUCCCCAGGCUUAACCUGGGAACUGCAUUCGAGACUGCAUUGCUAGAGUAUGGGAGAGGGAAGUGGAAUUUCAGGUGUAGCGGUGAAAUGCGUAGAUAUCUGAAGGAACAUCAGUGGCGAAAGCGACUUCCUGGACCAAUACUGACGCUCAUGUGCGAAAGCGUGGGGAGCAAACAGG
Molecule: ribosomal RNA, 253 nt
Filed under: uncultured bacterium
Lineage: Bacteria
Description: partial 16S ribosomal RNA
Rfam family: Bacterial small subunit ribosomal RNA
Source: RNAcentral